RNAcentral lists this non-coding RNA (30 nucleotides) under Mus musculus (house mouse). The record is from RNAcentral. Lineage: Eukaryota; Metazoa; Chordata; Mammalia; Rodentia; Muridae.
UUUAAGGUACUCAGUAACCUUAGUGGACCU